UUGCUUCAGCAGCACGUAUACUCAAGUUUGAAUGAUGCAGAGAAGAUUAAUGUGCUUCCUGCACAAGGAUCACAUGCAAAUUCAUGAAGCAUUCCAUAUUUUU
Small nuclear RNA from Vombatus ursinus (common wombat), 103 nucleotides. The record is from Ensembl. Lineage: Eukaryota; Metazoa; Chordata; Mammalia; Diprotodontia; Vombatidae.